CGGGUGCACUGAUCCGGCCGGGCCUUUCCCUCUGUGGAACCCCAUGGCCUUCACUGGCUGUGCGGGGGAAACAGGACUUUUACUGUGAAAAAAUUGGAGUGCUCCAGGCAGGCCUAUGCUCGAAUACAUUAGCAUGGAAUAAUAGAAUAGGACGCGUGGUUCUAUUUUGUUGGUUUCUAGGACCGCCGUAAUGAUUAAUAGGGACAGUCGGGGGCAUCAGUAUUCAAUUGUCAGAGGUGAAAUUCUUGGAUCUAUUGAAGACUAACUACUGCGAAAGCAUUUGCCAAGGAUGUUUUCAUUGAUAAGGAACGAAAGUUAGGGGAUCGAAGACGAUCAGAUACCGUCGUAGUCUUAACUAUAAACUAUGCCGACUAGGGAUCGGACGAUGUUAUUUCUUGACGCGUUCGGCACCUUUCGAGAAAUCAAAGUGCUUGGGCUCCAGGGGGAGUAUGGUCGCAAGGCUGAAACUUAAAGAAAUUGACGGAAGGGCACCACCAGGGGUGGAACCUGCGGCUUAAUUUGACUCAACACGGGGAAACUCACCAGGUCCAGACACAGUGAGGAUUGACAGAUUGAGAGCUCUUUCUUGAUUCUGUGGGUGGUGGUGCAUGGCCGUUCUUAGUUGGUGGAGUGAUUUGUCUGCUUAAUUGCGAUAACGAACGAGACCUUAACCUGCUAAAUAGCCCGUACUGCUCUGGCAGUUCGCCGGCUUCUUAGAGGGACUAUCGG
This 729-nucleotide ribosomal RNA is filed under the name uncultured eukaryote. RNAcentral describes it as "SSU rRNA". It matches the Rfam family "Eukaryotic small subunit ribosomal RNA", at positions 670 to 1426 of the family's 1831-position model. The record is from RNAcentral.